CUUCAGCGAGCCCAGCCACAGGGGCCGCUCGGCGUCACGGUGCUGCCCGUAGGUCGCCAGGACGGCCUGUGCCUC
This 75-nucleotide antisense RNA is filed under the name Streptomyces viridochromogenes. Its description in RNAcentral is "ASpks sRNA". It matches the Rfam family "ASpks TB sRNA". The record is from RNAcentral. Lineage: Bacteria; Bacillati; Actinomycetota; Actinomycetes; Kitasatosporales; Streptomycetaceae.